UGCUGGUCUGAAGGUAGUGAGUUAUCUCAUUUGAUUGUUCACAGUCACAGAUUGAACUGCUUGUUCUACUCUUUCCCCCUUCUCACUACUGCACUUGACAAGUCUAAA
Molecule: Y RNA, 108 nt
Filed under: Microcebus murinus (gray mouse lemur)
Lineage: Eukaryota; Metazoa; Chordata; Mammalia; Primates; Cheirogaleidae
Description: Y RNA (ENSMICG00000047347.1)
Rfam family: Y RNA
About the family: Y RNAs are components of the Ro ribonucleoprotein particle (Ro RNP), in association with Ro60 and La proteins. The Y RNAs and Ro60 and La proteins are well conserved, but the function of the Ro RNP is not known. In humans the RNA component can be one of four small RNAs -- hY1, hY3, hY4 and hY5.
Source: Rfam by way of RNAcentral